Molecule: long non-coding RNA, 1811 nt
Organism: Oncorhynchus tshawytscha (Chinook salmon)
Lineage: Eukaryota; Metazoa; Chordata; Actinopteri; Salmoniformes; Salmonidae
Source: Ensembl
GUAAUGUAAUUUAGCUGUGUUUAUGUGGUAAUGUAAUUUAGCUGUGUGUAUGUAGCAAUGUAAUGUAGCUGUGUGUAUGUAGUAAUGUAGCUGUGUGUAUGUGGUAAUGUAAUGUAGCUGUGUUUAUGUGGUAAUGUAAUGUAGCUGUGUGUAUGUAGUAAUGUAAUAUAGCUGUGUGUAUGUGGUAAUGUAGCUGUGUGUAUGAAGUAAUGUAAUUUAGCUGUGUUUAUGUGGUAAUGUAAUUUAGCUGUGUGUAUGUAGUAAUGUAAUAUAGCUGUGUUUAUGUGGUAAUGCAAUGUAGCUGUGUGUAUGUAGUAAUGUAAUGUAGCUGUGUGUAUGUAGUAAUGUAGCUGUGUGUAUGUAGUAAUAUAAUGUAGCUGUGUGUAUGUAGUAAUGUAGCUGUGUGUAUGUAGUAAUAUAAUGUAGCUGUGUGUAUGUAGUAAUGUAAUGUAGCUGUGUGUAAUGUAGCUGUGUGUAAUGUAGCUGUGUGUAUGUAGUAAUGUAAUGUAGCUUAAUAUAAUGUAGCUGUGUGUAAUGUAGCUUAAUGUAAUGUAGCUGUGUGUAUGUAGUAAUAUAAUGUAGCUGUGUGUAAUGUAGCUGUGUGUAAUGUAGCUGUGUGUAAUGUAGCUGUGUGUAUGUAGUAAUGUAAUGUAGCUGUGUGUAUGUAGUAAUGUAAUGUAGCUGUGUGUAUGUAGUAAUUUAAGGCCAUACAACAAUUCAUGUUAUUUUGUUCUUCAGUUGUUUUCCAGGCAACACCUUAGUCUAAUAACAAAUAAACAAUGUUAAAAACAAACAUAAAACAAACAUUGGUCUAAUCAAAUCAAAAAGACUAAUGUCUAUAUAUUCACAUAUAUUUUGUUUAUAAUAAAAAACUAGUAGAAAUGUAUAAUAAUGAAAUAUUAAGGGAGAAAAAAAAGGAUACAAAAAGUAUUCCUGUAAAAGGCUAUGUACAAGCUACAUUCUACAUACUGUACUGUGAAUAACAAGCCAUAGAAAUGAUGCAUAUUUCAGUGAUGAAGGCUAUGUUGCUGCCUUAAAGCCUACAGAGGAGUGAAAGUAUCCCCAUGUAGCCACAGUGAGAGAGCUGGAUGAGGCCUAUCAUCAUAGAACACAUGGGAUUUACAGCAUCUUCAGGAGCCCAUGAUUAGUGUUUCAAUAAGGAUCCUCCUUUAGAGAGUUAGAUAUGGGCCCUGGUCUAAAGUUGGCCACCACAUAGGGAAUAGGGCCCUGGUCUAAAGUAGUGCACUAUAUAGGGAAUAGGGUGCCAUUUGGGAUAGAGAGUUUCAAUUGACUGGCAAUACAGUCAAUGUUAGAUUAUGGAAUAUUGAUAUGGAAAUACCAAAUAAAUCCUUAUUAAAUAAUGCAUGACAAUAAUACCACAUUAUAUCCCUUUAAGGAUCAUUUACUGUGACUGUCAGCUGUGGUAAUAUACUGUUUGUACUAAUUUAGAACAAUAUAUUACACAUUUGGUUAUUUGUUUUACAGUCUUUAAAGUAGCUAAUUCAUACGGUCUAUAAUCACAAUAUCUGUCUUAAGAAAGUCUUGAAACGGAAGUAAUGGCACAUUGUGAAAUAACGUUGAGAUGUUUGUUUGGGUGUGAAAAUAUUAGUUCAAAGAUGGACACCAUUCCUUAUUGUGUUUCUUUAACCGUUCAGAGAACGACCAGAGAAAUCAGGUUGAACACUGGAACCAUCAUCAUAUUGACAUAUCUGACAUCUGAAAUUCCCUUCGCAAGUUGUUUUAUUAAGUGCCUUGUUGGCUUUCCUUUCCACGUCUAUGACAUGAAACAGUAUAUUAGGACAAUAAAUAUA